AUCGCUUCUUGGCCGUUUGACUAAGAUCAAGUGUAAUAUCUGUUCUUAACAGUUUAAUAUUUUUAUCACCCAAGCAGUGUAAAAUAAUGAGGCUCAGCUCUU
This 102-nucleotide small nuclear RNA is filed under the name Suricata suricatta (meerkat). Its description in RNAcentral is "U2 spliceosomal RNA (ENSSSUG00005012664.1)". It matches the Rfam family "U2 spliceosomal RNA". Rfam says of the family: U2 is a small nuclear RNA (snRNA) component of the spliceosome (involved in pre-mRNA splicing). Complementary binding between U2 snRNA (in an area lying towards the 5' end but 3' to hairpin I) and the branchpoint sequence (BPS) of the intron results the bulging out of an unpaired adenosine, on the BPS, which initiates a nucleophilic attack at the intronic 5' splice site, thus starting the first of two transesterification reactions that mediate splicing. The record is from Rfam by way of RNAcentral. Lineage: Eukaryota; Metazoa; Chordata; Mammalia; Carnivora; Herpestidae.